RNAcentral lists this long non-coding RNA (444 nucleotides) under Monodelphis domestica (gray short-tailed opossum). RNAcentral's name for it is "lncRNA (ENSMODG00000035883.2)". The record is from RNAcentral. Lineage: Eukaryota; Metazoa; Chordata; Mammalia; Didelphimorphia; Didelphidae.
UAUCAAGGUUAUAAACAUGAAAGGCAAAGUCUGGAAGAGGUCUUGAUUUGGAGGUGAAAGAUACUGAAUUCUGUUUGGUCUCUAAGAUGGACAUAUUGAGCUUGAGAAGUUUCUGAUGUCUAACAUGUCUAUUGGAUAACUGAUGAUGCAGAGUUGAAGGCUGGAGUAGAGACAGAGACUGGAUAUAUCAACCUGUGUCAAACAUGCUUUGGAAAGCCUACAAUUUUUCCGUGAGGAUAAAGAGGACUUCCUGUCUAAUGAAGGUUGCUGAACUUGUGGCAAAGAAUUGGAAAUUGAAGAAUGUCCCUCAAUUGGGGAAUGGCUGAACAAAUUGUGGUAUAUGUUGUGCUAUAAGAAAUGAUAAGCAGGAUGAUUUCAGAAAGCUGGAAAGAUCUACAUGAACUGAUGCUAAGUGAAAUAAAUAUAAUAUAAUAAAUAUAACCA